GACGAACCGCGCGAACGUUGUUCGGAAUCACUGGGCUUAAAGGGCGCGUAGGCGGGCUUUCAAGUUUGGGGUGAAAUCCUCCGGCUCAACCGGAGAACUGCCUCGAAUACUGAAGGUCUCGAGGGGGAUAGGGGCAUGCGGAACUACGGGUGGAGCGGUGAAAUGCGUUGAUAUCCGUAGGAACUCCGGUGGCGAAGGCGGCGUGCUGGAUCCCUUCUGACGCUGAGGCGCGAAAGCCAGGGGAGCAAACGGG
RNAcentral lists this ribosomal RNA (253 nucleotides) under uncultured bacterium. RNAcentral's name for it is "partial 16S ribosomal RNA". It matches the Rfam family "Bacterial small subunit ribosomal RNA", at positions 524 to 776 of the family's 1533-position model. The record is from RNAcentral.